Myodes glareolus (Bank vole) is the source of this 941-nucleotide non-coding RNA. The record is from RefSeq and is a predicted model, not a curated record. NCBI's taxonomy places the organism in Eukaryota, Metazoa, Chordata, Mammalia, Rodentia, Cricetidae.
CAAAACAAAACGUGGGCUGACGAGAUGGCUCAGCAGGUCAAGGCGCUUGCUUUCAAGCCUGAUGACCUGGUUCAGCUCCUGGCACCCACAUAGUGAAAGGGGACAAUUGGCUCCUGUAGUAGCACUGUGACCUCUUCGUAAGUACUUUGGUUCACACACACAGGAAGUACAUAAAAGUAAUUUAAAAAACACACCCAUUUGUAAGUGACUUGGAAUAUAUAUAUAAGACGAAAACGAUAUGCAAAGUGUUACUAUACUUAUUGCUUAUUGACCAGAGAAAGAUGUCAGUAUGUUCAGUGCAGACAGUUUUGUAGGAAGUAUUUCUAGCAAAGCGUGGUGGCACAUUCCUGUGUCUUAACAUUCUGGAAGCUGAUUCAGGAAUGGGAGUCAGGCUAGGCUGGGUUACAUAGUCAGACCCUGUCUCCAAAUAAAGAAAUAAAAAUUGGGGCCAGAGAGAUGGUUCAAUGGCAUGUAUUGAAGAAGCAUGUAUUGCUGCUCUUGCAGAGACCCAACUUCAGUUCCCAGCACCCCACUGAGGGAUGCACCAUCACCUAUAAGGAAGGGGAUCUGACAUCCUGGCCUCUGUGGGCGUCUGCACUCAUCCACACAAACCGAAACAGGUCCCGAAUCUAACUUGUCCUCCUUAGGGAAGAUGUCCACUAUUGCCAGGAGGACAGCUACAGGCGGGGGGUCAACUCCAGCGUUGCUCCUUCAUAGAGACUGAAGAAGCGAGGCUCCUACUCUUGAAUCCCAGAAAUCCUACACCAGGAUGAAAGAGAUACGAGAAUCUUCUGGAAACUUGCUGGCUCACUGGUCAGCUAACCUGGAAUAGGGGAAGAGCAGCAGCAGAAAUAAGAUACCCUGCCUCAAAAUCCUGGGUGGAAGGAGCGAACCUCUAGCCUUCCAGAAGUCCAUGACACAGACAACUAAAUAAAAAUUAA